This 476-nucleotide long non-coding RNA is filed under the name Homo sapiens (human). RNAcentral describes it as "HSALNT0083821". Lineage: Eukaryota; Metazoa; Chordata; Mammalia; Primates; Hominidae. The record is from RNAcentral.
AGAGAAGCUCAUUGUUUCAUAAAGCACUUUCGCAUUUUAAGGUGCUCAACUCAGUAACCUGGACGUCUUCCCUGAUUCUUCCCCGGAACUUCAUGAACACAGCAUCAAUUCUACCCCAAUAGAUGUGAAGUCCAUCUGCCCUUUGUCAUCUGCACCCUCACAACCGUCAGCUCCCAGCUCCACCUGUUGCAGUCGCCUCCUAACAGGUCUCUCCACUUCACCUCUUGCCCUUCUCACAUCCCUUUUCAUCAGAACAGCUCCAGUGAACUAUCGCACGUGACACCUCCACUCAAUCUCCCUGGAGCCUCAGAUGCCACUCAGCAUGAAAGUGCUCCCAGCUGUCUUGAGUGACUGGCAGUUAUCUAACCUGAUCCCAUGGACACGUGACAGGUGUUUUGGCUCCAGCAGACUCCUUCUGGCACUCAUGGGAUUGUUGCCUUGCAGGGCUGCCCCAGCAGGGACAUUCCUCCUGCCUG